Molecule: ribosomal RNA, 388 nt
Filed under: uncultured bacterium
Lineage: Bacteria
Description: bacterial SSU rRNA
Rfam family: Bacterial small subunit ribosomal RNA
Source: RNAcentral
CCUAACACAUGCAAGUCGAACGGUAACAGGAAGAAGCUUGCUUCUUUGCUGACGAGUGGCGGACGGGUGAGUAAUGUCUGGGAAACUGCCUGAUGGAGGGGGAUAACUACUGGAAACGGUAGCUAAUACCGCAUAACGUCGCAAGACCAAAGAGGGGGACCUUCGGGCCUCUUGCCAUCGGAUGUGCCCAGAUGGGAUUAGCUAGUAGGUGGGGUAACGGCUCACCUAGGCGACGAUCCCUAGCUGGUCUGAGAGGAUGACCAGCCACACUGGAACUGAGACACGGUCCAGACUCCUACGGGAGGCAGCAGUGGGGAAUAUUGCACAAUGGGCGCAAGCCUGAUGCAGCCAUGCCGCGUGUAUGAAGAAGGCCUUCGGGUUGUAAAUA